Long non-coding RNA from Chelonia mydas (Green sea turtle), 613 nucleotides. RefSeq lists it as uncharacterized. The record is from RefSeq and is a predicted model, not a curated record. Lineage: Eukaryota; Metazoa; Chordata; Testudines; Cheloniidae. The transcript is spliced from 3 exons.
UGUGGUUUUCCUUGCUAGCUCCUGAUGUGGAGCAGUAGGGGUAAGGAUGAGGCCAGUGAUGCCCUGUGUUGGGGGGCGUGGGGGUGGGGGGAGGCGUAUGUGUGUGUGGGUGCGUGCGUGCAUGCAGGAAACAGUGAUAACGGAGUUCUUCGAGGACUGCAAAGGAUGACUUUUUUUUUUAAUUAUUUUUUUUAGACCUCUAUGUCAACCAGCAUCUGCAGCAUUUGGAUUGGCUGCCUGAGGAGACUUCUUAAUUCCUGGUGCACUUCGGGCUCCUUGGCCUGGGCCUUCGCAUUCCUUCUCCAUGCUGUCUGCCAUGUUGAACCACUAAGCCGUUUUGUGGUCCUGCUGCAGCAUGGUCUUGCAGGCUCUUUCUGAACAGGUUCCCCUCCUCAGCAGGGUCAGGCAUUCUGGGUAUGUGGAAAAAGCACCUCUCAAGGCUGCCAUGCUAGAAGCUGCUGAUUAAAAACAGACAGAUGCACCAUUGAAUUUACAGUCUCAAGAGAAAGCAAGGGCCUGAUUCUGUCUUCUCUGAAAUCAAAGUCAGAUCAUCCUGAUCCACAGAUUCCUUUGACGUCAUUUCGGAUGCAAUCAAGCGUAUGGGACCAAGGAU